AAUGAACGUUGGCGGCGUGGAUUAGGCAUGCAAGUCGAGCGGAAAGGCCCGCAAGGGCACUCGAGCGGCGUAAGGGACAGUAAUGUGUAGGUAACGUACCCCUGGGUCUAGGAUAGCUGCGGGAAACUGCAAUUAAUACUAGAUAACGUCUCCGGACCAAAGGUGUGAUUCCACCUGGGGAGCGGCCUACAUCCUAUUAGCUAGUUGGCGAGGUAAUGGCUCACCAAGGCGAAGAUGGGUAGCAGGUGUGAGAGCACGACCUGCGUCACUGGGACUGAGACACUGCCCAGACACCUACGGGUGCUGCAGUCGAGAAUCUUCGGCAAUGGGCGAAAGCCUGACCGAGCGACGCCGCGUGUGGGAUGAAGGCCU
Molecule: ribosomal RNA, 372 nt
Filed under: uncultured bacterium
Lineage: Bacteria
Description: bacterial SSU rRNA
Rfam family: Bacterial small subunit ribosomal RNA
Source: RNAcentral